RNAcentral lists this ribosomal RNA (508 nucleotides) under uncultured bacterium. RNAcentral's name for it is "partial 16S ribosomal RNA". It matches the Rfam family "Bacterial small subunit ribosomal RNA", at positions 28 to 507 of the family's 1533-position model. The record is from RNAcentral.
GACGAACGCUGGCGGCGUGCCUAAUACAUGCAAGUCGAACGCUUCUUUCCUCCCGAGUGCUUGCACUCAAUUGGAAAGAGGAGUGGCGGACGGGUGAGUAACACGUGGGUAACCUACCCAUCAGAGGGGGAUAACACUUGGAAACAGGUGCUAAUACCGCAUAACAGUUUAUGCCGCAUGGCAUAAGAGUGAAAGGCGCUUUCGGGUGUCGCCGACGGAUGGACCCGCGGUGCAUUAGCUAGUUGGUGAGGUAACGGCUCUCCAAGUACACGAUGCAUAGCCGCCGUGGGAGGGGGAUCGGCCACCCGGGCACUGGGCCACGCCCCAGACUCCUACGGGAGGCAGCAGUAGGGAACUGUCAGCAAUGGACGAAAGUCUGACCGAGCAACGCCGCGUGCGUGAAGAAGGUGUUCGGAUCGUAAAACUCUGUUGUUAGAGAAGAACCAGGACGUUAGUAACUGAACGUCCCCUGACGGUACCUAACCAGAAAGCCACGGCUAACUACGUG